RNAcentral lists this ribosomal RNA (796 nucleotides) under Salmonella enterica. RNAcentral describes it as "partial 23S ribosomal RNA". It matches the Rfam family "Bacterial large subunit ribosomal RNA", at positions 2138 to 2925 of the family's 2925-position model. Lineage: Bacteria; Pseudomonadati; Pseudomonadota; Gammaproteobacteria; Enterobacterales; Enterobacteriaceae. The record is from RNAcentral.
GUAGGAUAGGUGGGAGGCUUUGAAGCGUGGACGCCAGUCUGCGUGGAGCCGACCUUGAAAUACCACCCUUUAAUGUUUGAUGUUCUAACGUGGACCCGUGAUCCGGGUUGCGGACAGUGUCUGGUGGGUAGUUUGACUGGGGCGGUCUCCUCCUAAAGAGUAACGGAGGAGCACGAAGGUUGGCUAAUCCUGGUCGGACAUCAGGAGGUUAGUGCAAUGGCAUAAGCCAGCUUGACUGCGAGCGUGACGGCGCGAGCAGGUGCGAAAGCAGGUCAUAGUGAUCCGGUGGUUCUGAAUGGAAGGGCCAUCGCUCAACGGAUAAAAGGUACUCCGGGGAUAACAGGCUGAUACCGCCCAAGAGUUCAUAUCGACGGCGGUGUUUGGCACCUCGAUGUCGGCUCAUCACAUCCUGGGGCUGAAGUAGGUCCCAAGGGUAUGGCUGUUCGCCAUUUAAAGUGGUACGCGAGCUGGGUUUAGAACGUCGUGAGACAGUUCGGUCCCUAUCUGCCGUGGGCGCUGGAGAACUGAGGGGGGCUGCUCCUAGUACGAGAGGACCGGAGUGGACGCAUCACUGGUGUUCGGGUUGUCAUGCCAAUGGCACUGCCCGGUAGCUAAAUGCGGAAGAGAUAAGUGCUGAAAGCAUCUAAGCACGAAACUUGCCCCGAGAUGAGUUCUCCCUGAGACUUUAGGUCUCCUGAAGGAACGUUGAAGACGACGACGUUGAUAGGCCGGGUGUGUAAGCGCAGCGAUGCGUUGAGCUAACCGGUACUAAUGAACCGUGAGGCUUAACCUUACA